AACAGUAAACAACCAACGCGUCAUUCGUUGGAACGCAUGCGCAUUCAUAACUCAAGAUAAUGAAGGCGCCAUAGUACUGAGUGCUAUUACACAUUUGGCCUUAUGGGCCUGAGCUAAUCUGUUCUAUAUAUUCCACUCCCAUGUGUAUGGAGCACCCCACCCAUUACCCACAGGCCAAUUUCAUCUGCAGAGCUUUGUUUGCCAUUAACGAUGGCUUCCCGUUCCUUUGUUUGUUGUCCUGCCUUGUUUGUUUCUCUCUGGACGGUGGUAGUGGUUCUGCUGAUCUCACCUGCACAUUCACUCAACUGCACAUCCCAGAAGUUCACCAACCGGCUCUAUGAUAACUGUAUAGACCUGUCCACACUCAACUCCUACCUACACUACACCUACAAUGCCUCCAACUCUUCACUUUCAAUCGCCUUCAAGGCCCCUCCGUCCAAAUCUGAUGGCUGGGUGGGGUGGGCCAUCAACCUCAAUGGUACCGGAAUGGCAGGGGCUCAGGCUCUGGUAGCGAUGAAAAACGAUAGCGUAGUGGUUGUGAAGAAAUAUAGCAUCGCCUCUUACAGUGAUAUUAAGGAGACAUCGAAGCUAGCGGUCGAGACAUGGGACUUGAGUGCAGAUUCCGACUCCAGUGGUAACUUCGUGAUCUUCGCUUCAGUAAAGAUCCCGGAAAGCUUGGCGAAGGUGAACCAGAUUUGGCAAGUGGGUCCGUCGGUGAAAGACGGAUUUCCAGCAAAGCACGAGUUCGCCCAAGCGAAUCUGCAGGCAAUGGGAACACUGGAAUUGGUGGCCUCACAGAGCAGCGGUCGAAAUACUGCAACUGGAGCAGGUACUAAUUCUACUACCCCAACUAACGGCAGUUCUACUAACAGUACUAACGCUGGCUACAAGAUUAACGAGCUGAACGUGAGUUUUCAGUUUGGGCUUUUCGCUCUUCUGGGAAGUGCUCUAGUUUUCUGAUUUGUUGAUUUUGAUUUUAGAACAUUGUUGUAAUUUUGAUGAUUCCUGUGGUAGAGAUUUGGGAUAUUUAAUAUUUAAAAAGUGAAUAAUUACUCUUAUGUGAAAUUUCAUUCUUUCUUCUGAUUCCUG
RNAcentral lists this unclassified non-coding RNA (1089 nucleotides) under Hevea brasiliensis (rubber tree). Lineage: Eukaryota; Viridiplantae; Streptophyta; Magnoliopsida; Malpighiales; Euphorbiaceae. The record is from RNAcentral.